AUAUUUACCUGGCAGGGGAGACACCAUGAUCAUGAAGGUGGUCUCCCCAUGGCAAGACUUAUCCAUUGCACUCGGCAUGUGCUGACCCCUACCGUUUCCCCAAAUGUGGGAAACUAGACUGCAUAAUUCAUGCUAGUGGGGGCCUAUGUUCAGGCCUCCCCU
Small nuclear RNA from Phyllostomus discolor (pale spear-nosed bat), 162 nucleotides. RefSeq annotates it as U1 spliceosomal RNA. NCBI's taxonomy places the organism in Eukaryota, Metazoa, Chordata, Mammalia, Chiroptera, Phyllostomidae. The record is from RefSeq and is a predicted model, not a curated record. The transcript has a single exon.